RNAcentral lists this ribosomal RNA (422 nucleotides) under gamma proteobacterium Dell 1. RNAcentral describes it as "bacterial SSU rRNA". It matches the Rfam family "Bacterial small subunit ribosomal RNA", at positions 1076 to 1499 of the family's 1533-position model. The record is from RNAcentral. Lineage: Bacteria; Pseudomonadati; Pseudomonadota; Gammaproteobacteria.
UGGGUUAAGUCCCGUACGAGCGCACCCUUGUCCUUAGUUGCUAGCAGGUAAUGCUNCANACUCUAGGGAGACUGCCGGUGACAAACCGGAGGAAGGUGGGGACGACGUCAAGUCAUCAUGGCCCUUACGUCCUGGGCUACACACGUGCUACAAUGGUUGGUACAGACGGUCGCUAAGCCGCGAGGUGGAGCUAAUCCGAAAAAACCAAUCGUAGUCCGGAUUGGAGUCUGCAACUCGACUCCAUGAAGUCGGAAUCGCUAGUAAUCGUGAAUCAGAAUGUCACGGUGAAUACGUUCCCGGGCCUUGUACACACCGCCCGUCACACCAUGGGAGUGGGUUGCUCCAGAAGUGGCUAGUCUAACCUUCGGGGGGACGGUCACCACGGAGUGAUUCAUGACUGGGGUGAAGUCGUAACAAGGUAA